Molecule: ribosomal RNA, 1061 nt
Filed under: Salmonella enterica subsp. enterica
Lineage: Bacteria; Pseudomonadati; Pseudomonadota; Gammaproteobacteria; Enterobacterales; Enterobacteriaceae
Also listed under: 1 other name
Description: partial 23S ribosomal RNA
Rfam family: Bacterial large subunit ribosomal RNA
Source: RNAcentral
CCACCACCAAAGCAUUCUCUGGUGUUGAAGGCCCUGCAAAGCAGCAUCGCGGUGGCGGAGCGUCGUUUGCGACGCCCAACACACAAAACAAGCGGUGAGUGCUUUGGGGUGGGGUGACUGCGUACCUUUUGUAUAAUGGGUCAGCGACUUAUAUUCUGUAGCAAGGUUAACCGUAUAGGGGAGCCGAAGGGAAACCGAGUCUUAACUGGGCGUUAAGUUGCAGGGUAUAGACCCGAAACCCGGUGAUCUAGCCAUGGGCAGGUUGAAGGUUGGGUAACACUAACUGGAGGACCGAACCGACUAAUGUUGAAAAAUUAGCGGAUGACUUGUGGCUGGGGGUGAAAGGCCAAUCAAACCGGGAGAUAGCUGGUUCUCCCCGAAAGCUAUUUAGGUAGCGCCUCGUGAACUCAUCUUCGGGGGUAGAGCACUGUUUCGGCUAGGGGGUCAUCCCGACUUACCAACCCGAUGCAAACUGCGAAUACCGAAGAAUGUUAUCACGGGAGACACACGGCGGGUGCUAACGUCCGUCGUGAAGAGGGAAACAACCCAGACCGCCAGCUAAGGUCCCAAAGUCACAGUUAAGUGGGAAACGAUGUGGGAAGGCUCAGACAGCCAGGAUGUUGGCUUAGAAGCAGCCAUCAUUUAAAGAAAGCGUAAUAGCUCACUGGUCGAGUCGGCCUGCGCGGAAGAUGUAACGGGGCUAAACUGUGCACCGAAGCUGCGGCAGCGACGCUUAUGCGUUGUUGGGUAGGGGAGCGUUCUGUAAGCCUGCGAAGGUGUCCUGUGAGGGAUGCUGGAGGUAUCAGAAGUGCGAAUGCUGACAUAAGUAACGAUAAUGCGGGUGAAAAGCCCGCUCGCCGGAAGACCAAGGGUUCCUGUCCAACGUUAAUCGGGGCAGGGUGAGUCGACCCCUAAGGCGAGGCCGAAAGGCGUAGUCGAUGGGAAACGGGUUAAUAUUCCCGUACUUGGUGUUACUGCGAAGGGGGGACGGAGAAGGCUAUGUUGGCCGGGCGACGGUUGUCCCGGUUUAAGCGUGUAGGCUGGUUUUCCAGGCAAAUCCG